CCGCGAGGCCCGGAGCGCCCAGGGAGCCUGCGGGCAGGCGCCCGGAAGUGCCGCGUUCCCGGCGCUUCCGGCCACCCUCGACCUGGCGGUGGGAGGCGGUCCUGGGCCGGGAGCUCCGCGCGGACCUCCGCGAGGAGGGGUGCCCCGAAACCAGCGCCACGUGGUGGGCCUCCUGCUAGGUGCGCUCCGCAGCAGACGUGGUGCCAGGGGCCAAGGACUGUCAAUUACUACCACCAGUGAUCACCUUGGUACUGAGGCUGCAUCUUGAAGACGAAUCCCAGCCCCGUUCCCCUGUUCUGAGCCUCGGAAGAGAACUGCCCCCUCCAGCUGUCUUUGCUAAAGUGCCUUGGCUCAAAAGCAUGCACCUCCCAGAUCGCACGGACACGUGACACUUGGUAUUUGUGGGACUGCAGACUUAGGCUGGCUGUUUAUUGGCAAUGCGUGGCUCAUACGUAAUUUAAAAAUUUACUAGUAGCCACAUUUACAAAAUAAAAAUAAACAAGUUAAAUUGA
Long non-coding RNA from Suricata suricatta (meerkat), 512 nucleotides. RefSeq lists it as uncharacterized. The transcript is spliced from 2 exons. The record is from RefSeq and is a predicted model, not a curated record. Lineage: Eukaryota; Metazoa; Chordata; Mammalia; Carnivora; Herpestidae.